AGAAUUUAUCUUCAGCAUAAACUUCAUUAUUCUACAGUGUUUCUUCAUUUGCCUGAGAGGUUGUCAGAAAUCAGCAGGCUGAGAGGGAGUUUUCAACAAAGGCAGUAAAGAUAAAACAAAAAGGCUCCAGGUUACGUACAGCUGGGACUGCUGCUACCUGAUUGCAAGAAUUAUAUAAGACCAAGAUAAUGAAGGCUAGAUUUAAAAAACAUAAAGGUAAGUAAUCUGAAUUUGAACCCAGAUCUGUAUGACUCAGAAGUCCAUGCUUUUAAAUCAAUCCU
Molecule: long non-coding RNA, 281 nt
Filed under: Sus scrofa (pig)
Lineage: Eukaryota; Metazoa; Chordata; Mammalia; Artiodactyla; Suidae
Description: lncRNA (ENSSSCG00060002366.1)
Source: RNAcentral